RNAcentral lists this long non-coding RNA (1089 nucleotides) under Anas platyrhynchos platyrhynchos (common mallard). RNAcentral's name for it is "lncRNA (ENSAPLG00000026866.1)". The record is from RNAcentral. Lineage: Eukaryota; Metazoa; Chordata; Aves; Anseriformes; Anatidae.
GCCAAUUUCUCUAGUGUGUAUAGAGGAAGUAGCAGUCUUAUUCCCUGUGAAAAUUACUGAACCAAACUGUCUUUCCCUUGUGUCUGCUUCUCACCCUGCAGCACUGAAAAGGAACAAUUAACACAAGUGUCACCUUCAGCAUCCUCAACAGAGAAGAAUUAUGCUGUGGUCUCACUUCUCAUUUCCCUCUUCCUGUAGCAAGCAUGCCCAUAAUAACAUACAAAACUACUGCAAGGUGUGCUCAGAUGCAAGACCAAGUAUCCAGGUGGUAACAAAGAUGAAAACACCCAGAAAUUCGCAAUGCAGAAACUACAACCAAGGAGAUUACAGCUGUGAGAUUGUCCUCAGCUUCCUCAGCAGAUGUUUCGACCCCUCACUGGGGUCACGGCCAAGGAUAAUACGAAGAGGGAGACAAUACUCCUCAAGCCUAAGGCCUGUUCUCCUCCCACUAUUCUGGAAUAGGAGUGUCCACACAUGGAGUUAAUCAAGGGUAAGUCCCAAUGCAGACAAGCCCUCACACUAAAUGUACCACUCUAAAAGAUGAUGAGGCCUCUAACCACAUCCUGGGUACGUUGCUACAGGCUCCCUCAGCACCAUGAUUUUAUGCUGCAAUCUAAACCUGAGCAUUCAAACUUAACAAAGAUGGAACUGCAGGUACCCAGAGAUCUGCUAUUAACUUCAAGACCUUAUGACAACUAUUAAUGUGAUAGCUGUCAUACUUCACAUAGCCAUUUAAAAAAACCUUUGAAAAAUUAACUAAUUAAUCUCCACAACGCUACUGUAGAGAAGAUUAUCAAAUCAUAAAGAAGAUUAUCAGAUGUCUCACCCUGCAAAUGUUUCAAAACUACAUUUAACCUCUACAUGUGGAUAUCAGGAAAAUUAUGAUUUAUCUUUUAUCUUUCCAGCUGAGCUAACAAAAGAGAAAACAGUAAGUUUUCUGAGAUUUUUUUUUAAUUUUUUUUGUGGGGGGGGAGGCAUGGUGAGAGAUUGGGAAAAUGAUUCAAUGUGAUGACCCUCUAAAUUCCUGUGGGACUCCAUGAAAAAAAUGAUACUUUUUCUACUUUCAAAUUUUUUGGACAAAAUUAAAGG